CUACGGGGGGCUGCAGUGAGGAAUAUUGCGCAAUGGGCGAAAGCCUGACGCAGCGACGCCGCGUGGGGGAUGAAGGUCUUAGGAUUGUAAACUCCUGUUAAGUGAGAAGAAAGGCCCAUCUCUAAUAAAGAUGGGAGAUGACGUUAUCACUAGAGAAAGCACCGGCUAACUUCGUGCCAGCAGCCGCGGUAAUACGAGGGGUGCAAGCGUUAUUCGGAAUUACUGGGCGUAAAGGGUGCGUAGACGGUUUAUCAAGUUUCCUGUUUAAUACCUCAGCUCAACUGGGGAUCAGCGGGGAAAACUGGUAUGACUAGAGGAUGGAAGAGAGAAGUGGAAUGCCCGGAGUAGCGGUAAAAUGCGUAGAUCUCGGGUAGAACACCGAUGGCGAAGGCAGCUUCUUGGUCCAUUUCUGACGUUGAGGCACGAAAGCGUGGGGAGCAAACAGGAUUAGAUACCCUCGUAGUC
RNAcentral lists this ribosomal RNA (465 nucleotides) under uncultured bacterium. Its description in RNAcentral is "partial 16S ribosomal RNA". It matches the Rfam family "Bacterial small subunit ribosomal RNA", at positions 339 to 795 of the family's 1533-position model. The record is from RNAcentral.